This 584-nucleotide long non-coding RNA is filed under the name Pan troglodytes (chimpanzee). RNAcentral describes it as "long non-coding RNA NONPTRT012025". The record is from RNAcentral. Lineage: Eukaryota; Metazoa; Chordata; Mammalia; Primates; Hominidae.
GGGAUGCCCAGUGGGAAUGGAGUGGGAACAGGGGUCAAGCAAGCACCCAGGCCAUCAGGUGCUGGUAGAAAUGUAUCAGCGGACUCUACCCACCCCACUAAAAAGCCAGGGACUCGCCGCCCACCCUUGCCACCCAGACCUACACCCCCACGAAGAAAACCUUUACCACCAAAUAAUGUCACUGGAAAGCCGGGAAGUGCAGGAAUCAUUUCAUCAGGCCCAAUAACUAUACCACCCCUGAGGUCAACACUCAGGCCUACUGGAACUCCCUUGGAGAGAAUAGUGACAGAUAUAAAGCAACCAACAGUUCCUGCCUCUGGAGAAGAACUGGAAAAUAUAACUGACUUUAGCUCAAGCCCAACAAGAGAAACUGAUCCUCUUGGGAAGCCAAGAUUCAAAGGACCUCAUGUGCGAUACAUCCAAAAGCCUGACAACAGUCCCUGCUCCAUUACUGACUCUGUCAAACGGUUCCCCAAAGAGGAGGCCACAGAGGGGAAUGCCACCAGCCCACCACAGAACCCACCCACCAACCUCACUGUGGUCACCGUGGAAGGGUGCCCCUCAUUUGUCAUCUUGGACUGGGA